This 2298-nucleotide long non-coding RNA is filed under the name Equus asinus (donkey). RNAcentral's name for it is "lncRNA (ENSEASG00005038367.1)". The record is from RNAcentral. Lineage: Eukaryota; Metazoa; Chordata; Mammalia; Perissodactyla; Equidae.
GUUAAUUACAGCAACCCAGGCUUCUCUGUGUGAAGGAAACAGGCCCUCAUUUCUCUCAUUAAAGUAAAAUAUGACCCAUUUUUAUGCCUGCGUAUUUUGUUGCCGAGAUUACGAGAAUCAUCUUUUCUGUUUAUACGGAACGAAGAAACGUUACACCAGGAAGGCGGCCUGGGCCCCUGAGUCUGGGGAAUAGGAAGCAGAUGUCGUCCCGCCCUUAUUUUCCCUUCUACCCCAGCUCCCCUCUCCUCCUCUCCACCUCUUCUCCCUCCAGAAGCAUAAUCCUCAUUUCAGAUCAACACAAGGGAAGUGGAUGCGCCAGUUCCCUCCAACCAAGAAUGCUCCAAGUCGGCCUGGUGCCCCAAGAUGUGGGGCAAACUACUCCUGCUGAUCACAGAUGCAGUUACAGACCUUUGUGACCGCCUUGCUGGCCACAGGACUUCCACAUGACCAUCCUAGUGGCCUCACACAGGGAAGGGAUUCAGGAUAAGGCUGUUGGAGCAGUCCAGAAGAGAGAGAAAGACCGUGGAGAUGGAGCAGCUAAGACAUACUAGAGAUUUUUCUGAGAUGGACCUGCACACCUCUGACACAGCAGAUUCACAAUCUGUGCUUUCACCAGUGGGCAGCAGUUAAAUGAAUCCCAUCCCAUAGAAUGCUGGGCUACCGAGGAAAGAACAAGGAAGUGCUGUCUACACUCAUGAGGAACGGUCUCCCGGGUAGGGUGUGACUUGGCCGGAGCGAGGCGAGAGACAGAAGCUCUGAGAGUUAAGGAGCUUUUCCCGGGCCUCGUGGCCACCGAGCAGGAAACAGCAACCAGGCCACCCUCUCCUCUGCUUUGUCAUCUAUCAAAUGAGGAUGCUGACUUCUAGGUGAUUAGGACACAGUAUGAAGAGAAUUACGAUUUAGCCUAAGUCCAUGGCUCAGCGAACCUGCGGAGGAGGGGCUGGAACCUUCUAGGAGGAUGACAAGCUGACCUUUGACUGGAGUCCUGAAGAACAAGCAGCUGGUGGCCAGGUGGAGAGGAGAAGAGUGCUCCGGGAGAAGCACCAGCCUUGACGAAGGUUUGCAGGGACGAGGGCCUGCGGCUCCUCUAGGGGGGUGCCUGGAGUCACCUAGCUCUGAGCAGCUCAAACCCUGAGGCCGGAUCUGACGAUGACGCAGAAAGCCAGUGCCUAGCCCGGAGCCUGGCGCACAACAGGUGCUUAUGAAGGAAGGAAUCCCCUGGAGAUGAGCAAAGCAGAGGAACAGAAUGUUACGUGCUGUCUCCAUCAUCUUCUCCCGGGCGGCCAGGGAAGAACUCGGGUCAGUUGCUUCAUUCCCACUGAUCUGCUCAACAAACACACAUGGAGCAUCUCCUCAACUGUGCUGGUGCCAAGGGGACAGAGAUGAGUGAUGCUGCCCCCGUCCUCAGGGAUAUCCCCAUCUGGUGGUCUGACAGGAAAAGCAGACCUCCCCAUCAGAGCUGGAGGAGUGGGUAGCUUUUCACCAGGUGAAGAAAGAGAAGGCGUUUCAGGCAGAGGCCUCAGCACCGGCAGAGAUGUGGAGCUGAGGUUGGGAGAGGCUAAGAAACUCGCCCAGGCCAGUGUGAAGAAGAGCCCGGAUUUAAGCCCGGGUUUGUCUGAUUCCAAACCCACGCCUGCCCAUCCCACCAUCCCGCCUCCCCGAAGGCCAGUCCUCUCCUCGGCAAAGGGGUAUGAGGCAGCCCGGCCGCUGGACACAGAAUUAUUGAUCAUCCCUGAAUUCAAAUUUUAUGAGAAGGAAUUAUUUCAGUGGGAACGAAAAAUAUAACCUGAAGAAAGAAUGCUGGUUGAAACAUGAAAUGUCAAAAGCUCUCUUACUAUAUCCCAAAGGUAAUUAAAAUCUCUGCUGGUCAAAAUCAUGAAGAUGAGGAAAAAAUCUUGAUGGCCAAGAAAAUAUAGAUAAUGAAAUUGACAAGAGAGCUAACGAGAUGUGAAUCAGGACACUCCUAAACAGGAAGCACGAGAGCAAAAGAGAGAUGAAAACAACGGUACAGGAUAAGAUCAUCUGUACUCUCAAUGGAACACAUCAGAGGUCAAAGUCCCGUCCCCGCCCCGCCACAGGAACAAGCCAGUGACCUUCAGGCCACACAAACCUGAAUCAGCCACCAGCAGAUAGGAAAUUGUCACCGUGGCUUCUGUGGCCCUCAAGAUGGAGAAAUGUGGAGGCAAACCUAUUCUAGAAGGGCUGAGACACCAAGGGGAAAUAAACAUUCACUCACAGUGCUUUUGGAAUACGCUGAUUGCUGUGCAGGCCAUGACAAGGGACAGAGAGAGCCGUCAG